RNAcentral lists this ribosomal RNA (493 nucleotides) under uncultured bacterium. RNAcentral's name for it is "partial 16S ribosomal RNA". It matches the Rfam family "Bacterial small subunit ribosomal RNA", at positions 28 to 506 of the family's 1533-position model. The record is from RNAcentral.
GACGAACGCUGGCGGCGUGCUUAACACAUGCAAGUCGAACGGAAAGGCCUGCUUUCCCUUGUGGAUUGCGGGUACUCGAGUGGCGAACGGGUGAGUAACACGUGAGUGAUCUGCCCCCAACUUGGGUAUAAGCCUGGGAAACUGGGUCUAAUUCCCGAUAGGACUGCAGGGUGGUGCCUGUGGUGGAAAACGAUUUUCUAGUGGUUGGGGAUGAGCUCGCGGCCUAUCAGCUUGUUGGUGGGGUAAUGGCCUACCAAGGCGGCGACGGGUAGCCGGCCUGAGAGGGUGGACGGCCACAUUGGGACUGAGAUACGGCCCAGACUCCUACGGGAGGCAGCAGUGGGGAAUAUUGCACAAUAGGCGGAAGCCUGAUGCAGCGACGCCGCGUGGGGGAUGACGGCCUUCGGGUUGUAAACUCCUUUCGACCGCGAGGAAGCCACCUGGUGGGAAGGGUGGUGACGGUAGUGGUAGAAGAAGCACCGGCUAACUACGU